Molecule: small nuclear RNA, 108 nt
Filed under: Sorex araneus (European shrew)
Lineage: Eukaryota; Metazoa; Chordata; Mammalia; Eulipotyphla; Soricidae
Source: RNAcentral
AUUCUGGCUGUGGCAGGACACAUAGUAAAAUUGUACUGCUACGGGAAAGAUUAGCCUGACCACUAGUGCGAGGAUGACAUGCAAAUCAGUGAAGUGUAGCAUAGUUUU